This 158-nucleotide small RNA is filed under the name Gopherus agassizii (Agassiz's desert tortoise). Its description in RNAcentral is "TUC338 (ENSGAGG00000021535.1)". Lineage: Eukaryota; Metazoa; Chordata; Testudines; Testudinidae. The record is from RNAcentral.
UUGAAAGGUGCCGGAAUGACAGCUUCUGCUUAGCUACAGAACAGGCACUGCCAGCUCCUCCCAUGGUGCAGCACCAAUGUGCACGCAUGCCCUGCCCUGGAGGGCCCACCUCUAGUGGUGAAAGGGGAGUUCAGGGUCCCAUUCCUUCCUAGGCCCAA